This 253-nucleotide ribosomal RNA is filed under the name uncultured bacterium. RNAcentral describes it as "partial 16S ribosomal RNA". It matches the Rfam family "Bacterial small subunit ribosomal RNA", at positions 524 to 776 of the family's 1533-position model. The record is from RNAcentral.
UACGGAGGGUGCUAGCGUUGUUCGGAAUCACUGGGCGUAAAGGGCGUGUAGGCGGUCUGUUAAGUCUGAUGUGAAAUCCCCUCGCUCAACGAGGGAACUGCGUCGGAUACUGGCAGACUCGAGUACCGGAGAGGAAGGUGGAAUUCCUGGUGUAGCGGUGGAAUGCGCAGAGAUCCGGAAGAACACCGGUGGCGAAGGCGGCCUGCUGGGCAGUAGCUGACACUGAGGCGCGACAGCGUGGGGAGCAAACAGG